This 20-nucleotide ribosomal RNA is filed under the name Ulmus americana (American elm). RNAcentral describes it as "partial 25S ribosomal RNA". Lineage: Eukaryota; Viridiplantae; Streptophyta; Magnoliopsida; Rosales; Ulmaceae. RNAcentral also lists the same sequence under 8 other names. The record is from RNAcentral.
GCGGGGCUACCCGCUGAAUU